RNAcentral lists this long non-coding RNA (613 nucleotides) under Olea europaea subsp. europaea. The record is from RNAcentral. Lineage: Eukaryota; Viridiplantae; Streptophyta; Magnoliopsida; Lamiales; Oleaceae.
AUCUGAUUUUCAUGUUAACUAACCAAAAUUAAGUGUGUGCGCAAAUGUAUCAGAAAAAGGUUACACAUAACUCAUAUUCAACUAUACGAAAACCAAGUUAUACUAUGUAGGCAUAACGAAUCUGUAAUACAGUAAUACUCGCAAUGAAAUAAAAAAGUAAAGCACGUUAAUAUAACAGUUAAAUUCAAAUGAUAUUUCAAAAUUAUUAAACUAUCCGUGGAUUGGAUACUAGGACUACAAAUGCAGUGCCAAAACGUACCACAGUACUGAAACAGAUUGAAAUUAACGAAAUCAAAACAACAAUGAAAAUAAGAAACCCUUAAAAGAGCCAAAGUGAUCGACGCUCGGGAAAUCAUGGGACAGGACUACUUGGAUCUCUGCCUCAUCUUUCGGCGCUUCCUCUUCAACCUCCUCAUCCGCUUCUUCUUCCACUGUUAUUGUUCGUAACAAUGUAGAUUGAUUCAAUAUCAUAUACAAAAUAAUUAAGAUAAAGUACAGAGAAAAUGAGAUAGAUAAUCGAACAAUAUUUAAUAAAUUUAAUGAAAUCCAGCAGAUUUUACCUUGGCUCUCAUGGUUAGGGAGAUAAAUAAAACUCGAUGCCUCUUUUCAGAAC